RNAcentral lists this transfer RNA (72 nucleotides) under Nanobdellota archaeon. RNAcentral describes it as "tRNA-Arg". It matches the Rfam family "tRNA". From Rfam's summary of the family: Transfer RNA (tRNA) molecules are approximately 80 nucleotides in length. Their secondary structure includes four short double-helical elements and three loops (D, anti-codon, and T loops). Further hydrogen bonds mediate the characteristic L-shaped molecular structure. tRNAs have two regions of fundamental functional importance: the anti-codon, which is responsible for specific mRNA codon recognition, and the 3' end, to which the tRNAs corresponding amino acid is attached (by aminoacyl-tRNA synthetases). tRNAs cope with the degeneracy of the genetic code in two manners: having more than one tRNA (with a specific anti-codon) for a particular amino acid; and 'wobble' base-pairing, i.e. permitting non-standard base-pairing at the 3rd anti-codon position. Lineage: Archaea; Nanobdellati; Nanobdellota. The record is from RNAcentral.
GCCCCCGUAGGCUAACGGAUAGACUGUGGGCUUGCGGAGCCUGAUAUCUGGGUUCAAUUCCCAGCGGGGGCG